GACGAACGCUGGCGGCGUGCUUAACACAUGCAAGUCGAACGGAAAGGCCCUGCUUUUGUGGGGUGCUCGAGUGGCGAACGGGUGAGUAACACGUGAGUAACCUGCCCUUGACCUUGGGAUAACUUCAGGAAACUGGGGCUAAUACCGGAUAGGAGCUCCUGCUGCAUGGUGGGGGUUGGAAAGUUUCGGCGGUUGGGGAUGGACUCGCGGCUUAUCAGCUUGUUGGUGGGGUAGUGGCUUACCAAGGCUUUGACGGGUAGCCGGCCUGAGAGGGUGACCGGCCACAUUGGCACUGAGAUACGGCCCAGACUCCUACGGGAGGCAGCAGUGGGGAAUAUUGCACAAUGGGCGGAAGCCUGAUGCAGCAACGCCGCGUGCGGGAUGACGGCCUUCGGGUUGUAAACCGCUUUCGCCUGUGACGAAGCGUGAGUGACGGUAAUGGGUAAAGAAGCACCGGCUAACUACGUG
This 468-nucleotide ribosomal RNA is filed under the name uncultured bacterium. Its description in RNAcentral is "partial 16S ribosomal RNA". It matches the Rfam family "Bacterial small subunit ribosomal RNA", at positions 28 to 507 of the family's 1533-position model. The record is from RNAcentral.